UCAAAUAUGAAGAUGCGUUGGUACGUGCUGGGGUGGUGUCACUGUUCCUGCGGAGAAAGACCAUUUGCGAGAAACUUUUUGCUCAAAUGUGUGAUGAAUCAUCCCAUAAACUCCAUUCUCUCGUUCCCCCAAGACAUAAAACAGGAUAUUCUCUACGUAAUGAUAAUUGUCUUUCAAUACCAAAGCAUAGGACAAGUAGGUUUGCUAACAGUUUUAUUAUGGCCGGUAGUAAGGCCUACAACUCCAGUUUUAAAUAAUAAUAUUUAAGCUAUAUUCUUACCUAGAACUAUUACAAUUAACAGCUUGUAAAUAAUGAAUGUUUGUAGACAUUUUACUCGUAUGCAUGUA
Paramuricea clavata is the source of this 348-nucleotide non-coding RNA. The record is from the annotation of a GenBank genome assembly. NCBI's taxonomy places the organism in Eukaryota, Metazoa, Cnidaria, Anthozoa, Malacalcyonacea, Plexauridae.